Molecule: ribosomal RNA, 373 nt
Filed under: uncultured organism
Description: bacterial SSU rRNA
Rfam family: Bacterial small subunit ribosomal RNA
Source: RNAcentral
CGUAGGGGGCGAGCGUUGUCCGGAUUUAUUGGGCGUAAAGAGCUCGUAGGCGGUUCCGUGAGUCGGCUGUGAAAUCUCCACGCUCAACGUGAGGGGUCAGUCGAUACUGCGGUGACUCGAGUCCGGUAGGGGAGUGUGGAAUUCCCGGUGUAGCGGUGCAAUGCGCAGAGAUCGGGAGGAACACCCGUAGCGAAGGCGGCACUCUGGGCCGGUACUGACGCUGAGGAGCGAAAGCGUGGGGAGCAAACAGGAUUAGAUACCCUGGUAGUCCACGCCGUAAACGUUGGGCACUAGGUGUGGGGCGCUAUCGACGCGUUCCGUGCCGUAGCUAACGCAUUAAGUGCCCCGCCUGGGGAGUACGGCCGCAAGGCUA